RNAcentral lists this ribosomal RNA (345 nucleotides) under Triticum aestivum (bread wheat). RNAcentral describes it as "partial small subunit ribosomal RNA". The record is from RNAcentral. Lineage: Eukaryota; Viridiplantae; Streptophyta; Magnoliopsida; Poales; Poaceae.
AUGGAGGGGAAGAAGAAGGCGACCGUGAAGGCUGCAGCCGUCUGCGUGCUCCUCGCCGUCCUGCUGUCGGCGCAGCAGCUGCCGGCGGCGGACGCGGCGUCGGCGUUCUGCAAAUGCUACGUCAGCUGCUACUCCGACUGCAGGCUCAGGCACCCCCGGCUGUUCUGCAAGCCGCUCUGCGGCGUGGUGUGCGCCCUGGGCGGCCAGAUGGGCGGCGGGUGCCCGGGGGUCUGCGGGGAGGCCUCGGGCUGCGUCGUCGACGGCGAGUCGGACGCUGCUGAUGCUGAUGCGGCGGCGACCUGCGUGGAGGAUUGCCGCAAGCUCCGCAAGGCCAUGAACGGUUAG